UGACAAAUUUGUUUUGAGCAUAAAUAAGAAGUUCGUUGCUUUUGUUACAUUAAUUUUGCUUGAAAUUUACUUCAUUCAAUAUGUAAACAAAAAACAUAGCACGAGCCUUGUUUGCAUAACGAAGAAUUGUGAGCUCAGUAUCUCGCUGAAAUAUCUCGACGACUGACACACACCUCACAGCCUUAUUAGCAUAAUCGGAACCUUUCUGGUUUUUAUAUUCACGAAAGAAUGAAAAAAUCCGAGAAAGUCAAAACUUCGUAUAUCUCGGGAUUUUAACGAGACCAGUCUCAUACUCGUGAAAAUCGAGAGAGGAGUUUAAAUGGAAAAGGUAAGUAAAAGUUUUUGUUUCUUAUAUCGGCAAGCUUUUAAAUUAUUUAAAGUUGCUGAACAAUUGUUUUUAAUGUGAAGUCGAAGUUUGGGGUGAUUAGCCUUAUCUCGUAUAAUAUUGUUCAGCAUGAAACAGUCUGAACAGCAAUCCUCGAUUUAGUCAACAAUCUAAAACGUGCUAAGGAGUAGUCAUUCGUCGAUUUACCUGCGGCUUCCAGAUGAUCUGAAGAUCGGGAAUAUAGAAAAUAUUGUCAAUUUGAUAUUGCUUAUGACCCAGUCAUGUCUGCUGAAGCCCAGAAGUUUCCAGACCAUGACAUUAAUGAAUAUUUUUUGAAUGGAAUGCAUGAGGAUUAGAAUAGAACCUUAUUCUGCCUUUUUACCAACUCACACCAUCUUUUCAAGAUUUAUGGAGCCAACCACAGAAGAAUUUGUUCUAUACACAUCAUUCAUAACAUUCUUAUUUAUGUUGCAUAACUUUAAAUGUUACUGGAUGAAUUGUGUUCACAUAAUGAAUACCAGCAAACUUUUUAUCGAGUGCACUUAAUUUGUAUUUUUCCUACCCAUCCAUCUAACAUAUGUUUUUAUAUAACAUAUUCAUAUACAUGUAACAUUUUUGGAAACAGCCAUUUUUUUUAAAAUUGGAAUUUAGCCUUACUAUUUUAUACAAUUUUUUUUUUAAUAUACUCUUUUGUAUACAAACAGAACAAAAAUACUUAGUUACAAUGGGAAAUGGACAUAAUAUAUAUAAAAGUGUCUGAUAAAAGUAUAGGUCUUGUUCAUGAACAGAAGAAAUCGACAGAAAAAUAUUCAGUUUUAGCCAUGAAAUACAAAUAUUAAUAUUUUUUAAGAAUAUUAUUUAAUCUAAAUAAGUUAUAAAAGGUUUUUUUCCUUUAUUCCAAUGUUUGGAAACAAAUCCGAUAUAUAAUUAAAAUUGCUGUACAGUAUAUCUUAUUGAUUCCUAUAAUAUAUCACUUUAGUUUCUUGAACAGCAUGUUUAUUACUUAUUUUCUUAAAAUGAUGUAUACAAGGUCAUUAAUUUAUUUUCAUUAUAUUCAACUAGAUACAAAUAGGCCUUCUGCAACCUUUUCAUUGUUUAAAUGGUAUGGAGUUUUAAUUACCUUUCAUAUGAAAAAUGACAUCUAAAUCUUAAAUUGCUGUACAUUAUAUCCUAUCCAUCUAAUGUAUCACUUUAUUUAUGUUGAACUAUGUGACUAUUAGUAUUAUGAUUUUUUUUUUAGAAUGAUAUAUGCAAUUUCAUUAAUUUAUUUUUCAUUUUAAGAAAAUUCAUUUUAAAAAAGAUCUCUUGCGACCUGUGUAUUUUUUUCAGUUUACAUAACACAGUGUAUUAAUUGAAUGUAGUUGUGUAGAUUUAUACAUGUACCUACAAGCAAUAUACAGUUAAUAUUCACGAGGUACAUGUACCAGCCUACUAUAUUUGAUAAAUAAAUGUACUUCUUUCAUGCCUUUUUCAUGCCUUUUACUCAUUGUUAUAUGUAUUAUUUAUAAUUGAAAUACUUCGAAAACUUUUCUCAAUUUAUUUAUUUUAAUAAGAUUAAGAAACGGACUAUAGUUAAUGCACGUUUUCAAGAGUUGUCUCUCUUGGGGACAAUAAUGAAUGCUCCCCAGGGUUCAUGACCCUGAAUAUUGAGUAGGCUGUGA
This is a long non-coding RNA of Magallana angulata, 1986 nucleotides long. RefSeq lists it as uncharacterized. Lineage: Eukaryota; Metazoa; Mollusca; Bivalvia; Ostreida; Ostreidae. The transcript has 3 exons. The record is from RefSeq and is a predicted model, not a curated record.